This 253-nucleotide ribosomal RNA is filed under the name uncultured bacterium. Its description in RNAcentral is "partial 16S ribosomal RNA". It matches the Rfam family "Bacterial small subunit ribosomal RNA", at positions 524 to 776 of the family's 1533-position model. The record is from RNAcentral.
GACGUAGGGCGCGAGCGUUGUCCGGAUUUAUUGGGCGUAAAGAGCUCGUAGGCGGUCUGUCGCGUCGGAUGUGAAAAUCCAGGGCUCAACCCUGGACCUGCAUUCGAUACGGGCAGACUAGAGUUCGGCAGGGGAGACUGGAAUUCCUGGUGUAGCGGUGAAAUGCGCAGAUAUCAGGAGGAACACCGGUGGCGAAGGCGCGUCUCUGGGCCGAUACUGACGCUGAGGAGCGAAAGCGUGGGGAGCGAACAGG